This 491-nucleotide ribosomal RNA is filed under the name uncultured bacterium. Its description in RNAcentral is "bacterial SSU rRNA". It matches the Rfam family "Bacterial small subunit ribosomal RNA", at positions 8 to 518 of the family's 1533-position model. The record is from RNAcentral.
AGAGUUGAUCUGGCUCAGGAUUAACGGCUGGCGGCGUGCCUAAUACAUGCAAGCCGAAUGGUUAGCUGCUAGACCAUGGCGAACGGGUGAGUAACACGUAGGUAACCUGUCUUAAAGACGAGGAUAACCAUUGGAAACGAUGGAUAAUACUGGAUAGGACAUAAUAAAGCACAUGCAAACAUGUUUAAAGGAGCAAUCCACUUAAAGAGGGGCCUGCGGCGCAUUAGCUAGUUGGUGAGAUAAGAGCCCACCAAGGCAAUGAUGCGUAGCCGGACUGAGAGGUUGAACGGCCACAAUGGGACUGAGAACGGCCCAUACUCCUACGGGAGGCAGCAGUAGGGAAUUUUCGGCAAUGGGCGGAAGCCUGAACCCGAGCAACGCCGCGUGAACGAAGAAGUAUUUCGGUAUGUAAAGUUCUUUUAUUUGGGAAGAAAAGACAGAUUGACUGUACCAAAUGAAUAAGCUCCGGCUAACUACGUGCCAGCAGCCGC